UUGUUCCCGCAAAUCCCGCUGCCGUCCUCGCGGCCGCUGCGACCCCGGACACCGCGCCAGCAACGCCCGCGGAUGGAAGGUUGCCGCGCCCGCAAGCUCGGCCCGCAUCGCGGCCGCAUCGCCCCCGCACUUCUCGCCACCAACGACCGCGGAUGGAAGGUUGCGGCACCAAAUCGCGGCUCCCGCAAAUCAGCCGCGCAGGUCCAGCUCGGCCCGCAUCACGGCCGCUUCGCCCCCGCACUUCUCGCCACCAACGACCGCGGAUGGAAGGUUGCGGCACCAAAUCGCGAAUCCGCCGCGCCCGCAAAUCGUGAAUCCGCCGCGCCAUCAAAGCCCACCGACGUUCAAAUCAAUCUCGGCAGUGGCUGCUCCCGCGGAUGGAAGGGAGCCAAGAUCGAGGCCAUAACAUAUAUGUAUGAGACAGUCAAACAUUUCGACAAUUUGCUCCAUGAAAAGCAUGUUUACAAGAUGGAUAAUGUAAAGUUCAAUCUUCAUCCGGGUGAAUUUAAUUUUCGUCAUCUAAAUGGUCCCAUGGAAUUGUGUCUUGACCAACAAGCCAUCGUGGAGCCAUACACUGUUCCAAUUCAGAUGGCGCCAUUCCCAAAACAAAUACUAUUGAACCUUGCUGAUAUUGCUGAGUUGCCAAACAGAACUUUAGUCGACAUUAUGGCUGUUGUAGUCCACUUGGGUACAAUACAUCGCACAAUGUGGGGCCCUUUCAGAAAGAUUGUUAUAAUGGAUGCUAGGGGAUAUUUACAUAUCAUUAAAGUUUGGGGUGACCUACUAAACAAAAAUGCACUCCGCUGGGCGUUGGCUAAGGAGGAUUAUGGCAUAAUAACUGGGACUAUGUUUAGACGGUUCAGAAGACAAGAGUGCCUCGAGUCUUCGGAUCAUACCGCAAUACACUUCAAUCCGUUCCAUCACAACACCCAUCAUUUUCGACCAAUCCAAAAAGCUUUGGUGGCGCUGAACAACCGUCAGUUUGCUGUGACAUUUCUUGAAGAAGAAAGGCGUAGAUAG
This 1020-nucleotide unclassified non-coding RNA is filed under the name Zea mays. RNAcentral describes it as "misc RNA Zm00001eb206460". The record is from RNAcentral. Lineage: Eukaryota; Viridiplantae; Streptophyta; Magnoliopsida; Poales; Poaceae.